Molecule: non-coding RNA, 109 nt
Filed under: Wenjunlia vitaminophila
Lineage: Bacteria; Bacillati; Actinomycetota; Actinomycetes; Kitasatosporales; Streptomycetaceae
Description: Streptomyces vitaminophilus Bacterial small subunit ribosomal RNA
Rfam family: Bacterial small subunit ribosomal RNA
Source: Rfam by way of RNAcentral
UUCACGGAGAGUUUGAUCCUGGCUCAGGACGAAUGCUGGCGGCGUGCUUAACACAUGCAAGUCGAACGGUGAGCCUUCGGGGUGGAUCAGUGGCGAACGGAGUAACACG